This is a long non-coding RNA of Cucumis sativus (cucumber), 824 nucleotides long. RefSeq lists it as uncharacterized. NCBI's taxonomy places the organism in Eukaryota, Viridiplantae, Streptophyta, Magnoliopsida, Cucurbitales, Cucurbitaceae. The record is from RefSeq and is a predicted model, not a curated record. The transcript has 3 exons.
CCUCCAAUUUUCUUUUUCUCUCUCCAUACCGACGAUCCUUCUUCUUCUCCUUCCCCAAUUUUUUUCAGAUCAUCCUUCGGCCGAGUUCCACUUCCGGCUCUCCUUCACGACUGUCGAAACUCCACCAUGCUUUCGAGUGAACUUUAGACCAUCUCCUCGUUCCAAUCUCUUCUAUUAACUCCCCAUUCAAGUUUGUUGUUGUUCACACCAAACCUUUCCCUUCUUCCAUCGUCAGUCUCCUCGGACCUGGAGCGGCUGAGGUUUUGCCCUAUGUGGAUUCGAAUUUGAAGAAGAUUGCUAGCUGAACUCCAAAAUUUAAACCAUUUUUUGUGAAUAAACUCGCUAGAUCGGUAAUUAUAUGUGAUAUGUUCCAAGGACUGGAUGCAAUGUGGAUUAAGCGAAGUCUCUAACGCCCUGCUACUCGAGUUUGUGGAUUACCGCUCCCUUCUCUGUCGACCAUGCAUUGAUACGGGUGGCUCGAUCCUUCUAGCGCCUGCUUUUGUUCUACGCAUCGUUUUGGUUUCGGGAUUUCUCUCAAGUUGGUUUUGAGUUUGUUGUGUUGGCGGUGGUUGUAGACACAAUCGGGUGGCAGAGGAGGAGACUGCAAUGGUUGAGGGAGAGAGGGUGGAGAUUCAGCCGGUAAUGGAGGAGGAGGAGGCUGCGACGUACGCCACACAUAGUAGAUGUUCGGGUGGUGGAGGAGAAGGUUAUUGCAACCACAAAUGGUGAGAUGGUAGAGAUUAAGGUGACGGAGGAUGUUAUUAAUUUUUUAAAAAAUAGUUUUGUAAAUUUUUAUGUGUAAUCAUAAUUAUAUUAUACUGUCC